GAUGAACGCUGGCGGCGUGCUUAACACAUGCAAGUCGAACGAAGCACCUUAUCUGAUUUCCUUCGGGACUGAUUAUUUUGUGUCUGAGUGGCGGACGGGUGAGUAACGCGUGGGUAACCUGCCUUGUACAGGGGGAUAACAGUUGGAAACGGCAGCUAAUACCGCAUAAGCGCACAGCAUCGCAUGAUGCAGUGUGAAAAACUCGGGUGGUAUAAAAUGGACUUGCGUUGGAUUAGCUAGUCGGUGAGGUAACGGCCCACCAAGGCGACGAUCCAUAGCCGAGAGGGGGACCGGACCCAUCGGAUUGGAACUAAGGCCCGGCCCAAGCUCCUACGGAAGAGAGCGGUAGAGUGUAUAACGCGAGGAGCGAAAGCGUAGUAAAGCGACGCCGCGUAAGAGGGGAAGUGGGUCGGAAUGUAAAGCUGUAUCAGCAGGGGAGUUAGUGACGGUAACUGACUAAGAAGCACCGGCUAAAUACGUG
Molecule: ribosomal RNA, 481 nt
Filed under: uncultured bacterium
Lineage: Bacteria
Description: partial 16S ribosomal RNA
Rfam family: Bacterial small subunit ribosomal RNA
Source: RNAcentral